Molecule: small RNA, 72 nt
Filed under: Polaribacter sp. KT 15
Lineage: Bacteria; Pseudomonadati; Bacteroidota; Flavobacteriia; Flavobacteriales; Flavobacteriaceae
Description: Flavo-1 RNA
Rfam family: Flavo-1 RNA (bases 9-72)
Source: RNAcentral
AUGCGUUAGUGAUUGCAACGGCAUCCUUUUUGCUUUUUCUGCAAAAAGAUAUAGUGGAAAGCACGACCCUUU